UACGUAGGCAGCAAGCGUUGUUCGGAGUUACUGGGCGUAAAGAGUGCGUAGGCGGUCCUGUAAGUUUGGUGUGAAAUCUCCCGGCUCAACUGGGAGGGUGCGCCGAAGACUGCAGGGCUUGAGUAUGGGAGAGGUAAGCGGAAUUCCUGGUGUAGCGGUGAAAUGCGUAGAUAUCGUAAGGAAGGCCGGUGGCGAAAGCGAGCCUCUGGACAGUUACUGACGCUGAUGCACGAAGGCCAGGGGAGCAAACGGG
RNAcentral lists this ribosomal RNA (253 nucleotides) under uncultured bacterium. RNAcentral's name for it is "partial 16S ribosomal RNA". It matches the Rfam family "Bacterial small subunit ribosomal RNA", at positions 524 to 776 of the family's 1533-position model. The record is from RNAcentral.